GUCAGAUGUCAACUGACUGAGCCACCCAGGUGCCCCAAUACUGAACUAAUUUAAGUCAGGAAAUUAGAUGAUCAUAUUAGGAGUUUUGAAAAAUAACUGACCCCAGGAUGAUGUGGAUUGGAAGGAAUGAAAUUAGAAUGGCUGUGCAGGAUUCUGCAUGGGAAAUGGUGGUACCUGAACUAAGGGUCUGGCUAUGAGGAGAUGGCCUGAUUCAAAGGCACCUUUUAGGAGAUAAAUUUGACAGGACUUAGUGACCAACUGGUGCCUAAAGGUGAGAGAGAGGGAGAAAUCAAGGGUGACUCCCUGGUCUCCAGCUUAGGUGAUGAAAUGAAUGGUGUUGCCUAUUACAGGGACAGAAGAAGCAGGUGAAGAACAAGUCUGAAAUGUAAAUAUGAUGGGCUCAGUUCUGCACAUGUACAUUUAGGAGGACUUUGGGGGCUCUUGUUGGAAAAGUCCAGUAAGAAAUAGGGGACUGCAAUCGUGGAAAGAAAUUUAGGCUGGAGAGUAAAUGUGGAUCAGAUGAAACUGUCCAGAGGGAGGAGGGAAGAGAACAGGAAAGAGAAAGAAGAGCCUUUGAUGAGACAGAAAAGGAAUGGCCAGGGGAAGGGAAAACAAGAAACAAAGGUGUCACUGGGGAGGUGUUGUUCAGAAGUGUCAAGGGCAACAAGAGGACAAACCAGCAUUGUGGAAAAGAUGGUGAUAACAUCCAAGAGAGAAAGGCCUGGAUAAUGGGGUAUCCAGGUUGGAAGACUGGAGGUGGUGGGGGACCUGAAUGGCCGUGUCAACAGGGCCACCCUGAUGCCAAUCUGUGUGGACCGGGAGGUCUUCUCCAUGUACCUGCAGAUGCCCUGACACCCUGGAGAUUUAGGACAGCGGCACAAACAUAG
Molecule: long non-coding RNA, 887 nt
Filed under: Vulpes vulpes (red fox)
Lineage: Eukaryota; Metazoa; Chordata; Mammalia; Carnivora; Canidae
Description: lncRNA (ENSVVUG00000024914.1)
Source: RNAcentral